UACAGAGGGUGCAAGCGUUAAUCGGAAUUACUGGGCGUAAAGCGCGCGUAGGCCGUCGGGUAAGUCGGGUGUGAAAUCCCUGGGCUUAACCUGGGAAUUGCAUUCGAUACUGCCUGACUAGAGUGUGGAAGAGGGAAGCGGAAUUUCCGGUGUAGCGGUGAAAUGCGUAGAUAUCGGAAGGAACACCAGUGGCGAAGGCGGCUUCCUGGUCCAACACUGACGCUGAGGCGCGAAAGCGUGGGGAGCAAACAGGAUUAGAUACCCCGGUAGU
RNAcentral lists this ribosomal RNA (271 nucleotides) under uncultured bacterium. Its description in RNAcentral is "partial 16S ribosomal RNA". It matches the Rfam family "Bacterial small subunit ribosomal RNA", at positions 524 to 794 of the family's 1533-position model. The record is from RNAcentral.